Long non-coding RNA from Esox lucius (northern pike), 944 nucleotides. NCBI's taxonomy places the organism in Eukaryota, Metazoa, Chordata, Actinopteri, Esociformes, Esocidae. The record is from Ensembl.
GAACAAAUGGGCUGUAUAUGUUCACACCAUCAGCAUAGCAUGUGAUAUUAGAAGCCAAAGUUUUAGACUUGGUUAUGGUGCUGAGCAGCACAGUUGCCUCUGUUUCUUUUGUUUUGGCUCCGCCUCACUUUGACCCAACUAAUUGAUAGUGAAAUUAAUUGCAUUCGACUAGAUGUUGCCGCUCUAAUUUUGACCAUGGCAUAUAAAGUGAGGAGAACAAGCAUGUGAACCGCUGCCGAUUUUGCAGGUUUUCCUACUUUCAAAGCAUGUAGAGGUUUGUAACUUUUAUCAUAGGUACACUUCAAAUGUGAGAAAUGCAAGGGUGCCAGUAGUUUUGACCAUGACUGUAUGCGGGCUCAGAUGAUGAGUGACAGUUGGUAUUCCUGCAGGGAUAGGCGUAAAGACAGGGAGGAGAAAAGAAGAGCCAAGGACGACGUCUCCCGGGUCAUCAAGGAGGAUCGGAGGCAAAGGGGGAAGAAGGGCAAAACCCCUCCCAAAAGCUACAGUACGUUCCGAAGGUCCCGGAGCACGAGCAGGGGCCACAGAAGGAAGAGCCGGGAUAGCUCCAGGAGUCCGAGGAGGAAAGCCAGGUCUCCCUCACCUAAGAGAGUAAAAGACAAGAAGAGGGAGAAAGCAAGGGAUAGCAGCAGGGAAAGAAGAGACCGAUCCACCUCCAGGAAGAGGAGCAGCAGAGAUAAAGAGAAGAUGGAGCGCAAGCCUGUCAAGUCUGUCAAGGUGGACAGGGACUGCGACAAGGAGAAAGGGGACUACGAGAGUGACAGGGAAGGUUCACCAACACUAAGUGAGGGCGUGACAUCACUCUGCGCCCAGCACAAUGGCAGCUGCAACACACAAACAGAGGAUGAUGUGACUUCACUCACCGACAGCACUGAGUGAUGGCUGGGAAGCAAGGCAAAACUAUGGGAGCAAGACAGUCCACUGUA